UACAGAGGUGGCAAGCGUUGUUCGGAAUUACUGGGCGUAAAGGGCGCGUAGGCGGUCUUGUAAGUCUUGUGUGAAAUCCCUCGGCUUAACUGAGGAACUGCACGGGAUACUGCGAGACUUGAGUUCGGGAGAGGGAAGCGGAAUUCCGGGUGUAGCGGUGAAAUGCGUAGAUAUCCGGAGGAACACCGGUGGCGAAGGCGGCUUCCUGGACCGAUUACUGACGCUGAGGCGCGAAAGCUAGGGGA
Molecule: ribosomal RNA, 245 nt
Filed under: uncultured bacterium
Lineage: Bacteria
Description: partial 16S ribosomal RNA
Rfam family: Bacterial small subunit ribosomal RNA
Source: RNAcentral